Molecule: ribosomal RNA, 301 nt
Filed under: uncultured bacterium
Lineage: Bacteria
Description: partial 16S ribosomal RNA
Rfam family: Bacterial small subunit ribosomal RNA
Source: RNAcentral
CAGUCGCCGCGGUAACACGUAGGUGGCGAGCGUUGUCCGGAAUCAUUGGGCGUAAAGGGAGCGCAGGCGGGCAUGUAAGUCUUUCUUAAAAGUGCGGGGCUCAACCCCGUGAUGGGAAAGAAACUACAUGUCUUGAGUACAGGAGAGGAAAGCGGAAUUCCCAGUGUAGCGGUGAAAUGCGUAGAUAUUAGGAGGAAUACCAGUGGCGAAGGCGACUUUCUGGACUGCAACUGACACUGAGGCACGAAAGCGUGGGGAGCAAACAGGAUUAGAUACCCCUGUAGUCCCUGUCUCUUAUACA